AAGCCAUAUUGUCUUGGCCUCUUCCCCAAGGCCUCAAUUUGUCUCUCGGUUUUGGAGGGGCUUUUGUGCUGAGAUGGGGAUCUCCUUGUCAUUUACGUCCUCCUAUCAUCCACAAUCUAAUGGAGCUGCCGAACGGGCAAAUCAAUCUGUGGAGUUAUAUUUACGCUGCUUCACGAAUGUGCACCAGGACAACUGGUCUCACCUCCUUCCCUGGGCUGAAUUCGCCAGGAACACUGUGACUCAUUCGUCCACUGGCUUAAGUCCUUUUAUGGUUGCUUAUGGGUUCCAACCCUCUGUCCUUCCCGGCGUGUUCUUCGACAAGGGAAUGCCCGCUUUGGACGAGCACCUCACCUCCUUACGGAAGAUGUGGGAUCAGGUCCAUGCUACUCUCUCUCAUGCGGCUGCUACUCAGAAGAGAUUUGCUGAUCGUCGUAGGGGUGCGGCUCCUUCUUAUGUCCCGGGUGAUAGGGUUUGGUUGUCCUCUAAGAAUCUCCGCCUCAGGGUCCCCUCGAUGAAAUUCGCGCCCAGGUUCCUGGGCCCCUCUAAGGUAUUGCAUAAGGUGAAUCCUGUGUCCUACUCCCUGGCCUUGCCUCCUUCCAUGCGUAUACCUAACACUUUUCACACCUCCCUUUUGAAGCCCCU
Pelobates cultripes (western spadefoot toad) is the source of this 642-nucleotide non-coding RNA. Lineage: Eukaryota; Metazoa; Chordata; Amphibia; Anura; Pelobatidae. The record is from the annotation of a GenBank genome assembly.